CAGUCGAGCGAACUUCUUCGGAAGUGAGCGGCGGACGGGUGAGUAACGCGUGGGUAACCUGCCCUAUACACACGGAUAACGUACCGAAAGGUACGCUAAUACGAGAUAACAUAUUUUUAUCGCAUGAUAAGAAUAUCAAAGCUCCGGCGGUAUAGGAUGGACCCGCGUCUGAUUGGCUAGUUGGUAAGGUAACGGCUUACCAAGGCGACGAUCAGUAGCCGACCUGAGAGGGUGAUCGGCCACAUUGGAACUGAGACACGGUCCAAACUCCUACGGGAGGCAGCAGUGGGGAAUAUUGCACAAUGGGCGAAAGCCUGAUGCAGCAACGCCGCGUGAGCGAUGAAGGCCUUCGGGUCGUAAAGCUCUGUCCUCAAGGAAGAUAAUGACGGUACUUGAGGAGGAAGCCCCGGCUAACUACGUGCCAGCAGCCGCGGUAAUACGUAGGGGGCUAGCGUUAUCCGGAAUUACUGGGCGUAAAGGGUGCGUAGGUGGUUUCUUAAGUCAGAGGUGAAAGGCUACGGCUCAACCGUAGUAAGCCUUUGAAACUGAGAAACUUGAGUGCAGGAGAGGAGAGUAGAAUUCCUAGUGUAGCGGUGAAAUGCGUAGAUAUUAGGAGGAAUACCAGUUGCGAAGGCGGCUCUCUGGACUGUAACUGUCACUGAGGCACGAAAGCGUGGGGAGCAAACAGGAUUAGAUACCCUGGUAGUCCACGCCGUAAACGAUGAGUACUAGCUGUCGGAGGUUACCCCCUUCGGUGGCGCAGCUAACGCAUUAAGUACUCCGCCUGGGAAGUACGCUCGCAAGAGUGUAACUCAAAGGAAUUGACGGGGACCCGC
Molecule: ribosomal RNA, 836 nt
Filed under: uncultured bacterium
Lineage: Bacteria
Description: bacterial SSU rRNA
Rfam family: Bacterial small subunit ribosomal RNA
Source: RNAcentral